Molecule: ribosomal RNA, 235 nt
Filed under: uncultured Candidatus Saccharibacteria bacterium
Lineage: Bacteria; Candidatus Saccharimonadota
Description: partial 16S ribosomal RNA
Rfam family: Bacterial small subunit ribosomal RNA
Source: RNAcentral
UAAGUCGGUAGUGAAAGCGUGUGGCUCAACCAUACUCACAUUACCGAAACUGCAAAGCUAGAGGACGAGAGAGGUUACUGGAAUUCUCAGUGUAGGAGUGAAAUCCGUAGAUAUUGGGAGGAACACCGAUGGCGUAGGCAGGUAACUGGCUCGUUCCUGACACUCAGGCACGAAAGCGUGGGGAGCAAACGGGAUUAGAUACCCCGGUAGUCCACGCCGUAAACUAUGGAUGCUA